AACGAACGCUGGCGGCAUGCCUAACACAUGCAAGUCGAACGAGACCUUCGGGUCUAGUGGCGCACGGGUGCGUAACGCGUGGGAACCUGCCCUUAGGUUCGGAAUAACUCCCCGACAGGGGUGCUAAUACCGGAUAAUGUCUUCGGACCAAAGAUUUAUCGCCUUUGGAUGGGCCCGCGUUGGAUUAGCUAGUUGGUAGGGUAAAAGCCUACCAAGGCGACGAUCCAUAGCUGGUCUGAGAGGAUGGUCAGCGACACUGGGACUGAGACACGGCCCAGACUCCUACGGGAGGCAGCAGUGGGGAAUAUUGGACAAUGGGCGAAAGCCUGAUCCAGCAAUGCCGCGUGAGUGAUGAAGGCCUUAGGGUUGUAAAGCUCUUUUACCCGGGAUGAUAAUGACAGUACCGGGAGAAUAAGCUCCGGCUAACUCCGUG
RNAcentral lists this ribosomal RNA (433 nucleotides) under uncultured bacterium. Its description in RNAcentral is "partial 16S ribosomal RNA". It matches the Rfam family "Bacterial small subunit ribosomal RNA", at positions 29 to 507 of the family's 1533-position model. The record is from RNAcentral.